RNAcentral lists this long non-coding RNA (4048 nucleotides) under Homo sapiens (human). Its description in RNAcentral is "HSALNT0044570". The record is from RNAcentral. Lineage: Eukaryota; Metazoa; Chordata; Mammalia; Primates; Hominidae.
UAUAAACUGAGAGAGAAGACUGCCCAAGUUCUGGCCUAUAGACAGAAGACUUCUAACACACAGUUUUUAAAGUAUCUAGUGUAUAUAAGGACAAGCCAUUCUCAGUCAAGCAUGAAACUGAAUCUGAGGAAAAGAAGAAAGCUGAAAACACACUGAGGAUUAUGGGAGAGGGGCAAGUGCAUGAAGCUUCUCAAUGACAUACAGACACUCUAAAAGCUCAAGAGAUCAAUUAUUCAACUUCAAGAACUGAAAUUUGAACACAGAUUUUGAGCUUCCAAAUCAGGAGAAAAAGAAGUGUUCUAUAAGAAGUUUGGACAAGACUCUGCAAGAAGUUAAGAGGUCCUUAAAGGCAACUGUGAAUUAACGGAGACUAGUUUUGAGAAAAUCAGUCCUGAUUUGUUUCUCCUGGAGUUUUCUUCUUUAUGUGAUCCUUCAUAAAAGCUGCUAAUAUGGGAAAGAUUGAAAUCAGCAAGUUUCUGGCUGUAAGCUAAAAGAGGCUCUUGAAUCAUAUUUCCGCCUGCUUAGCAAAUUUCUCUUGCGACAAUUGGAUGUUAUUUGGGGUUCCAUACUAGCAGGAAGAAGUACAAGCAAAGCUAAGUCAUUUUGAGAAUAAAUAUUAUCUCUCUAUAUAUUUGUAAAUGUUAUUUUCUUUUUUUUUGAGGUUUAUGAUUGAUCCUUGGCAUGUGUCCCCUUGUGUAUUGCUCUACUAAAAAUAGCCUAAAAAAGAAUUUUCCCCUCGAUGUGGAGCUUCUCUUUAGUUACAAUUCUACUUUCUCCUUCACUUGAGUAUCAGUCUUCAGAGAACUACCAUAACAAAGGAGUGGAUACAGAUAUACGCAAAAAAGUCUAUGAGAAAAUUAGUACAUUAAAUUUGUGAAAGCUCAUUUAAAGUAAUUUUCUACUAACAAUUUUAAUCAAAUGUAUUAAUCAUAUUUCUAUGCUUAGUGAUGUUAAAUAAAAAUUUAAAAGGUGGCAAUCAAUAAACAGAGAUAAAAGCUUCUCAAGAAUAAAUGAAAGGAAGUAAUAAAAAGACUCACUAAGCUGAAUUGCCUCCUAUCAACAGCAGCUGAUAAAAUAUUAAAAGAUUUGCCUUGUGUAAUGUCUCUGGAGAGCUGUCUUACUGAUGUACGAGGCCAUGAUUGACAACUUUGAGACUUUGCUGGAAGCGACAAAAGUAUAUCUAUAAUAUUAUGCUGAAUUGCAUAGGUCUUUCUUCUUAAAUGAGGCUAGAAAUAACAUACCACCAAGUGUUUGGCUUUUAGGAAAUUGAGCAUUUUCUUUAGUUCUAGCUGCAGUUUAAUUUCCUCAGAAUUAGACAUUAUGCGGUAUCUGGAACGUUAAAAAAAAAAAAAAGCAAAAACAGAGUAUUGUACCUAAUGAUAUGUCAAAUAAUUUUGGAGGAAUUAAGAAAUCACUGGAAGAAAUUACAUGGGUGGGUAAUGGUUUUUAUGUCACAAUAAAUAAUUAGUAAUAUUUACUGACACAUUUCAUGUGCCUGGUACUGAGCUAAAUGAUUUAUGUGCAUUGUUUGUAUUAAGCCCCCAAAAUUCUGUGGUAUAUGUAAUGAUAUUUCCAUUUUUCUUGAGAUAAGGAACUGAAACUCAGAAAAGUUAAGGAACUUGUCCAAGAUUAUAGUAAGUGGCUUAGUUCAAUUUUGAAUCUAGAUCAAUCUGACUCCAACCAGCAUGAUGAACUGAAACUGACUAUGAGGCUGGUGACACUCUAGGCAUUUAUUCACAAGAGGUAUUGUGAUGACAUGUGAGAGAAUGUUGGAUGAAGGAAGCACAUACUAGAAAGAUAGGAAAGACCAGAAAACACAGGGAAGUGCUAUUUAUUUGCUUUCCUAGUUCCAGUAACUUGGUCUAAUGGGGAGGAUGAAAGUAGACAGAUACCUGAAAACACUUUGAGAUUUAUGUAUAAGCAGCAUGACUUCAGUGACCAAGCCACACAGAAUCUGGGAGUGGAACAUUUUCUUUGGUCAUUAUGCCACUGCGGCAUGGUUUGUUAGUGCAGUGAGAACUAAAGUAUAGUGUGGUAACCUGAAACUGUUAUGGUUAUGGGUACACCUGGGUGGGUAGCUGUUCACCCCUUCACAGAGGGUAGGAGUGGUGAUAGCAAAGUAGCUCUUCGCAGUAACUUUCAGAACAUAGACAUUAUGUAAGAUCUGAAGUUUGAAAACCUGAAACAAAAGCAGAGCAUUAUAUCCAAGCACAUUGGAGACAACUGUGGAGGAAUCAAGGAACAUCUAGCAGAGAUUUAAUGUUUUAGGGACUGUUUUUUAUUUCAGAAGGUAAUAAGUGUAAAACAGUCAAACUCUAGGCAUAGGGAUGAACAUUAUUUUGUGUCAUAAAUUUGUCUAAUAUAGUUGCUGCUUCAGCAUCCAGUUUUGGCUUGUCAUGGUCAAGGUGACCAGUCAUGCCCUGUCACCUUUGGUUUUAUUAAAAUUUUCCCUCCUUUAGUGGUUAUUUGUGAUAUAGCCCUGUUGUUCCCCAUCUCACUGACCCCAAAUUCAACACAUGCCACAGCUGCUGGCCACAGUGAAAACUAAUGAUCAACACCAGUCAUGUGAAUAAGACGUCCCUUCAUGUGUUUUCUUUAAGCUAGCCUAUCCACAGCCCCAUGGGAAAGCCUAAAGAAUAGUACCUGUGGAUUAUAAUAAAGACGUCUUACUGGUUCUUGCUCUCUAUCCCUCUCUCUACACACUGGUCAAGUACACUCUUGUCUCCAGACUUCCCAUUGGCCUCCUGUCAACACCUGUACCCACUCUGGACCUGGGAAUAAUAAACUUCUUUUUUUUUUUAAUGUAUUUUGGUUUCACUUCCUCAUUGUAUCUCACCUGACACACACAUACUAUAGUGUUCUCAAUAUUAUUUAAUGUGUUUAACAAAUCAUAACAGAUAAUAUAUGAUUGACACUGUGCCUCCUGAUUUGAUGCAAUAUGGACUAUUCCACAUCACUGAUGAAGUAGUCAUACAAAAAAUAUUUAUCUUGAAUCAAAGCAAGAUUUUAUACCAAAAUUCUAGUUCAAGUUACCUGAUAGAGGAACAUAUUAAACAAUACUAUGUGUAAACAAUACUAUGUGUAAACAAUCAGAAAAAUAAUAGAUUGUAGCCUUCAAAAAACGAUGGCCUUACAAAACAAAUAAACAAAAAGUUUGUGUGGGUGUGUACAUGCAAGGGCUAAUCUCAAAUGCAGAAAGACCAGAAUACAAUAACAAAUAUAAUUCUUGAAAGUGGAUUUCAUCUUGGUUUACCAAAAAUAGCUAUGAGGGAAAUUUGGGUAAGAAUUAGAGAAUUCUGAAUAUAGAAUGAAUUAAAACAUAUUAUGAAUUAAGUUAAUAUUUUUGAUGUUUUCUUUUGAUAUGUUCUUUUAGAAUAUGUAAUAUCCCUAUUUAUUGGAGAUGUGUGCUAAAUUAUUUACAAAUAUUUGGGUAUCUGAAAUUUACUUUCAAAUGCACCAAAAAUAAUAGCUAUACAAAAAGAAAUACAUUAAAUUUACUCUAUAGUAGUAGUUAUUCUUUCUGAGAGGUUUACACAGUAUUUUCCUGUUCUUUUGUAUGUAUGUAUUUUUAAAAGAACGUAGGCCUGGCGCAGUGGCUCACGCCUAUAAUCCCAGCACUUUGGGAGGCCGAGGUGGGCGGAUCACGUGGUCAGGAGAUCGAGACCAUCCUGGCUAACACGGUAAAACCCCGUCUCUACUAAAAACACAAAAACAAAAUUAGCCAGGCGUGGUGGCGGGCGCCUGUAGUCCCAGCUAAUCAGGAGGCUGAGGCAGGAGAAUGGCGUGAACCCGGGAGGCGAAGCUUGCAGUGAGCCGAGAUCAUGCCACUGCACUCCAGCCUGGGCGACAGAGCGAGACUCCGUCUCAAAAAAAACAAAAACGAAAACAAAAACAACAUAAAUAAAUUGAUAAUAUAUCUAUUUUGAUACAGUCAUGGUUAACAUAAAUAAUCCUGGUUAUAUCCAUAUAAAACCAUGAAUAUACAGUAAUAAAUAUUAUAAUUACAAGUAAAUCACCAUAAAUAAAUUCUGUUUUCAAUGUUUCUACU